UUUUUUUUUUUUUUUUUUUGCCUGUUCAACCCCCUCGCAGCGUCACCGCUGGCGAUUUUUGGGAGAGGCGGAGCGAUAACAAAACCAGCAACCAUCGGCUCUGUCAUCCAUUCAAGUUCUCAAACACGCAGUCAACGUAAUUAAGAAAAUGCACUUGUGGCUUAUUGGGCGCUAUUUGGAGAAGAAAACAACGAGUUUGAAUAGACGCAAUGCAAGAGUACAAAUCAAACUACAUCAUGUAAGGCGUAAGUUAUAGUUGACUGAAGAGACUCGAAAGACAAAUGUACCUGGAGGUAAGGCAGGUACUAAAGGUGAUAAGAUGAACAUUUUUUUUAAGAGUACUGCAAGAGUUUUACCGAUAAUUUAUUAGAGAGGGAAAAGGAACAACAUACAGCCAAAUACAACUUCAAGAAAAAGAGGAACAAUUCUUCUUCUUUUGCAACAAAAGAGAGAUACAACUUGAUGGAAAAGUGCCGGGUGAGCGAGCAAUGUUUAUUGUAGUUCAGUCAAUUAAUAGGGAAGUUGUAUAGGUGCCAAUGAAGGAUUGCUCAAGGAGCUAAAAUUUCAGUUUCAACCAAAACUUGUGACCUGUGAAGCACUUCGAAAAAUAAAAUGACCAAUUGUCCUGGGAUAGUAACAUUAGUACCGUACAGAUUCCGUAAAAAAUCAGGACAAAACGUUGUACGUCCUGUAUGUACGUCUAGGUCCAGUAAUAAACUGUAAAAGGUCAACGAAUUUCACAGGACACUUGACAGUACAAAUGAACUAUUUAAGCCCAUGACGUCUCACACCCGCAAAAAGAACUACUUAAGCCCAUGGGCCGAAUGGAAAGCCGUACGUAUAUGAGCUUGAUGGAUGGCUUCAAUUUGGGCCUUAUGAGUUCGCAUGUGAAAAGUUAGGUCCAGUAAAAGGUCAACGAAUUUCACAGGACAUUUGGCAGUACAAAUAAACUAUUUAAGCCCAUGGGCCGAAUGGAAGCCGUACAUUAUAUGAGCUUGUGAUGAUGGAUGGAUUGAAUUUUGGGCCCAAUGAGUUCGCAUGUGAAAAGUUUACCUCGCGCACCCGAUUAGGAAAUGGUGGUUCGGAUCACAAGGAAUCGUUUUUUUUUUUGAGUAACGGGAUCACAAGGAAUCGUAGAGAUAAGGAUAGAACUAAUUCAGAAUUCAGGGAAUUAGAGCAUCUCCGAGAUGUAUAAAAAAUAGCUCUAAAAAUUUCUAAAUAAAAUUUUAAAAAAUAAUUUUUAGACCUUGCCGAAAAACUAUUAGGAGGGAAAAAUACCUCUUCAAACAACAAUUUCAAAAUUUUGGUCCAGAAAAGACUAAAUUCUUAUCCCAUCAUCAUAAAGCUUGAUUUUUCUAGUAAUUCGUACCCUUUGUUCAUAGGUUUUGGGAGCAUGGAGUGGAGGCCAAAUUUAAGUUCAAGAUGGAGUUGGUAUUGGACAACGAAAAAGUUGGGAAUAGAAUUAGACAACUUUUGGUGUAUUAUUUUUUUAACCUUUGUUCCUAAAACUAACUGUUGAAAUUAUAUAUCAAAAAUUUUUGGAGAUGCUCUUAUAUCCAUCAAUCUCUAUCCUCCUGCUGAACCCUAUCAAAUCGCUUCAUAUACUCUAACAAACUCAUAGUAUUGUAUAAUUUGGAAGGUCGUUUUGAUGGGGUUGAAACAGCUAUGAAAAUCGCAAAAAAGAGAGAAAACAUGUGUACACUAUCGGUGAAUUUUUUUUAUUUUUAACUAGCCACGGCGCAUGGCGCGACUAAAAGAGUCACGCCGUGCAAAUAAAGUUGGGAUUAGGAUGGGGUAUUUUUAAAAUAUCUUUAAAAAGUUAAAAAUAAAAAAAAAUCAUUAUCGGUGGACGGUGGUGCGGCGAAGCCGGUCAACUGAAGCUUCGCUUUCCCGGCGGCCGUUUGGCUCUUCUCCGUUUCAUGCGCGCCUCGCCGUUGCUAUAAAGCCUACCACCCCCAAGCCCCCAACUGCAAGGAGAUAGAAAGAGAGGCCGAGCGCCAAUUAUGAAGCCCUCGCGUUGCCUCUGCCUGCUUUUCCUGGCCUCCAUCCUCGUGGCCUCGUCGGCCGUCGUCACCGUGUCGCCGAAGGAGACCGCCGAGGAGAAGAAGGCCUGGGCGGCGCCGGCGCCGGCGGCGGUGGAGCCCGAUGAGGCCUUCCUCGCCCGCCUCUGCGACGAGCAGCGGCGCGGGCGGGUCCUCCCGUGGUGCAAGCAGCUGCACGCCAGGCGCCGCGGCGGCGCCCACCACCGCUACCUGCCGAUGUCGCCCCCCAGCCGCGACGGCGAGGAGAUCGACCCGCGCUACGGCGUGUCCAAGCGGCUCGUGCCGAGCGGGCCCAACAGGCUGCACAACUGAACUGAUCGUGCGACGCGCGGCUCCGUGAUUGAUGCGCGCGCGCGGCCGUCAGUUUUUCUUGCUAGCUAGUUUCCUUAUUUCCCUUUCUUUUCUUUUUUCCUAGGAUUCUUGCAUUGCUAGCUUUCUUUGUGUCAUUGGUUUCGUUCAAGCCUAGAUUGCUGGAAAGGGUUGACAAUGGAGGAUGAUGCAUGCGCCGUGAAGCAUACUCGAUCGAGCUCGGAUCUUCGUUUACCAUAUAUAGAUCCAAUCUUAGUAGCAUGCACUCCAUUGAUAAUGAAGACAUGUAGGUUAAAAAUCUACCGUAGGUCGGUUGGUUUCUUUUGUAGUGAUAAUAAUGUACCUUAGAGUACUAUAUACAUCUUGCUUGAUUUGUCCUUUCAAGUUCUUGUUCAUGCAUGCGUUGGCUCUUGUUGUAAGCUUGCCGGAAAGGUCAAGUUUCGUGUUCAUAUCCACGCGCUCGAUCUCUCAGACUCCUACUACACGCUUACUGGGCAUGUGAGUUUCUGUUCCUGUUCUGCUUAAUUUCACUGUGUGUUCUGCAAAGGCAACCACCAGUGUUCUUUGCAGGCUCCGACAGUGGAGUAGUGCUAGUUAAUGUGGUCCAGCUCUUCCUGUGAUGAAAAAGCCGAGUAGUUCGAGAAAAUAACUUCUCACAGCCAUUUUGCCUUUGUACUAACUGCUCACUUAACUCCGAGUUGUAUUGUAGCAAUUGCGUUAAUCCCCUUCGAUUCAGUUCUCGCGAUUUCACGGUGGAUAGAUAGUGAACGCCUACAUUUUAAAGAUAGUUCUAAAGAUAGAAUAGAUUUGAUCCAAAAUUUACUGGUAAUGUAGUUACGGCAUGUUCCAUCACUAAUUAAGGUGGCGAGGUGCUUUGUACCAGAAUUAUUGAAGAUCUGAUUUCAACUUGCAGCUACAGCCGGCCGUUUUGGUGACUUUUUCAGGCUAUUAAUGUGUUGUUCAGCCUUCACCGAUGCGUGAGAUCAGCUGGACAGGCCCUGGUCGACAGUUCGACACUUCCAUGAAUUGAGGGUAAUGGCUGACUCUUUAUUCAGGUGUACUAGGUUCCGCACUUUCCAGCUCAAUUCAGUCAAGAAAAAGCCGAUGUGCAAUAAACUGAACUGAGCUGGUGUUCGGAAAGCACUUCACCUUCACUGCAGGUGGUGCAAAACUGCGCUCAUCCAAUCUCCGUUCGUGGAAAAUGCAUUCAUCCAGUAAGCGCUGGGAUCCGUGCAAAGAAUAAUGCAGGAUCAGGGCAGUCCAACGAAAUAGUAAACUACUCUUUCAAUGCAAACACCACUAUUUCAUAUUUGAAUUUUAUACUACUCACCUCUUAUUAUGUCUUAGAUGGUGUGUAAAAACUAGGUCUCAUGCAAGAUUUAGUUUCCUUCUCUUUCUUAUCCUAGUUGGUAGCUCAUUUAAUUUUAUGGAUACCAUUCCGGUCAUUAGGUUGGGAGGAACUCAGAACACACUGUGGUUGGUUUUCUUUUUUUUAUAAAAGAAAAAGGAACAAAAGGGAAAUAGUAGCCCAGCCCUAUAAACCAUCGUUGCCCAUUCGGGCCUGGUCCAGCCUAUCCUAUACGGGCCAUGGCCCAACUCAUGAAGCGAAACCAAACGGCGCCACCCGGUUCUUUCGGUGCGGGCCUUCCCUGCGCGCUUGGUCCCGCCCCAUUUGCAUCGGGCGCGUUUGGCAGCCUGCAACGCCUCAGCCAGACCCACGAGUCAAGGCUCGAGCAAGACAGGUCAUAUCCAUGAAAUGCAGAGAUGUUAAUUAGCAAAUAUACACCCUAUAGUGCUAGUUGGGUUGGGAAUUUUUUUGAGCUGCACAGUAAAAUGGGCUUACCUUGUAUUGAGAAAGUGGUAGAGUUACCACAAUCUUCCUCCUCCCAGCACGUGCUGCCGCGCCUCCGGCUGCCACGCGUCGCGGCCUCCUCCCAACACGUGCCACCGCGCGCCACGACCUCCUCCCGCACGCGCCGCAGCGCCACCUCAGCUUCGCCUCGGCACCGCUGUCGCUCGGCCAGCGAGCUCGGCCGCUCGCCCUCGCCGCCGCCGCUUAGCCACGUCCCCCGCCGGAGAUUGUCAUAGUGGAAGUGGAGUGCGGCUUGGGGGGACGAGAUUGCGAGCGCUGGCCGUUGGGAUGGAGCUGUGGGCACCUUCUCCUUGUGCCUUCCUCUCCUCCGAUCGUGACGGCAGCGGCGGUCGGCUCUUGCGGGGCCCGCCUAGCCUCCCCUUCGUCGUGGUGCUACCGCUCGUCGACCCGGCCCCGCACGACGAAGGUGCUCGCAUGUGCUCAAUGGUGGGCAUGACGGGUGGCUCGGCGAUAGGAACAGAGAAGAGGCAUCGAGCGUGGGACGAAGACGGAGACAGCCUGCGAGCAUGGCGCUGCUGCCAACACCAGGGAGAUGCAGAUGCUGCCUUGCUCCACCACUUCGGCGGUCGUCGCGUCACCUUUGCGCUCUCCUCCCUCUUGUAGCUGCUCCCCGCCAUGACCUGCCAGUCGACGCAGGUGAAGGGGAACCAACAAAGGAGUCGGCGGCGAAGAACAGAGGAAGGUGAGCGUGUUUUGGUGUGUGACGAGAAUAUACUAAGGAUCACCGCAACGAGGCCAUCGAGCCUGCAUCGCGUGGAAUGACCGAUUUUAGCGUUUCACGCGGUGCAGCCUGACGGGCCUCUUUUGCAUCGCGUGAAUCUGGCCUGGGAGGCUAACUAGGAUGGCGAACACAGCUGGUUGCACCAACUAGCUGAACCUGGCCCAACCUCCGUCCGGGCCAACAUACGAGCCCUUCCUCUCCAAGUCCAGAGCGAGCGGUUCGGCGAAGUUUGCAAGUUGCGGAGCGGCUGCAACUCGCCUUGCCUGAUGGGGCGGCUGCGCGCUUUCUGCCGUCUCCGCCGCCUCCUCGCGCCGCCGCCGCCACAAGCACCACCACCGGGUCACUCUCUGGCGCGCGGGCCCCACGCCACUGCCGCCCACGCCUCGCCCUUCUCGAGGCUCUUCUCGUCGGCCUCGGCGGUCGCGGCCGUCGCGCCCCACGAGGCCCGAGACUCGGGUUUCGGCGGCUCAGCGUACUGGGCCUGGAUUCGCGCGGCGACGGAGUCGGCUCCGGCGCCCGCGCUUCCGCCGGAGGAGGAGGACGAGGGCCCGGAGCGGUACAUCCCCGUCAAGGCCUACUUCCUCUCCACCAGGUAAGCACGCCGCGUCACGCCAACGCUUGCUUGAUUGGUGUUUGAUGAUUUAUCUGUGGGGGGAAACGUUGAGUGCUACCGUGCUAUUUCGAAGUUGCGCACGCCCAAUAGGCCAGCGAACUAAAAUGAUGGGUUUUCCUUUGAUUUUUCUCUCCACUUUGUGGCAGCAUUGAUCUGAAGAGCAUGCAAGCAGAGCAUGGUAGUGAUAUUGUACCUCCAUCGACCCGUUUGCUCAACUACAUUGCGCUUCGGUACUCCGAAUUCCCGCCUGAGAUUAUGGUUAGUGAUUACAGUUUAGCAUCACCUUUGUUUGGGGGCCUAUUGAAAUCUAGAAUUAACUGAUCUCAGGCACAUGCGGGCCCCUUUUGGACAUGCUGUUGUGACAUUGACCUAUGCUGCAGAAAUUGAUAUCCUUGUGAUUUUGGUUGAUACUUGUGCAGGACAUUGGAGUGAAGGACAGCAGAUUUUGCUAUCGCUAUGUGGUUGUUUUCCAAUAUGGUUCUGCUGUGCUUUUCAACAUUGCUGAUCAUGAAGCUGAAUACUAUCUUGAUAUAAUUAGGAAACAUGCUUCAGGAUGGCUUCCGGAGAUGAGAAAAGAUGGUACGUCCAUGCAAUUCACUCCCAGUUCAUAUGUAUUAUCUGCUAAACUGAGUUCUGUUUGCUGCUUUUUAGUUGUCUCCUUUUCCUGUGUUCCUUGAUAACAUCAGUAUGAACAGAAAACAAUCCAUUUUGCCUUCUAUAAUAUUCAAAGAUACUAUUCCAUGCAUUCUAUAGAACUUAACUUAAAGAGAAUCAUUCCGUGCCUAGGCUGUGCUUUAUAUGUGUUUUUAAACCUGAAAUAAGUUUCCACUGCUUCCCUUUCACUGAGACUGUAAUGGUGCUUUGUUGUACAGUCCCAGGAACUGUCCUGCUUAAUUUCUCAUUGAUGGCAUCUAUUUUGCAAUAAACAGAUUAUGCAGUGGUUGAGAAACCGUCGCUAACAACAUGGAUGAAAGGAGGUCUUGAUUAUAUAGUUCUUAAAAGUUUAGACACUGAUGGGAUUCGCAUAAUUUCAAGUGUUCUUGGUCAAAGUAUUGCCCUUGAUCAUUAUAUCCGGCAGGUACUGAAAUUGAGCAAAGCUAAUGAUCUUUUGCAUGGUGAUUGUAUCAUUAAAACUGUCUAAAAGUUGUGAACUUCUAAAACACUAAUGUUGAUAGGUUGAUGAUAUGGUUGAGGAAUUCACUGAAAUUAAUCGUGUCAUGGAGAAGACUGGCAACUUCACCAUGCAGAGAAAGAAGCUCUUUCAACUUGUAGGCAAGGCUAAUUCCAAUCUUGCAGAUGUUAUCAUCAGACUUGGUCUUUUUGACAGGUAUGUCUUGAACACUAAAGCACUAUAUUCAUUUUAGGUUGGCUCCAUCUCCUGUACAACAUGUAUGAAGUUAAAUAUUUUAUGUAUGGAAGAAUGUGUCGGUAUCAUUGAGGGAUUUUUCUGUAGGAUGGAAGGUGUUUAAUUCUAGAUGCUAGAUAUUGCUUGCCUAUAGACCAGUGUUAUGCGCACAUGCUAUUCACAUUUGGAGAAAAGUUAUCACGUGGGGUUUAUGCUGUUAGUUUGGAGUUUCUUCCACUGCAUUGAGUAAAGAUUGAUGAUUUUGAUCAUCGUACUUAGAAAUUGGAUAUUACUAUGUCGCAGUACUCACUGUUUUAAAAGCAUUGUGCUUGCCAUGCGCAGAUUAUAUCAUAUUUUUGUUGGCUCUGUUGCAUUGACCACAUGUUUCUGCUUUGACUCACUGGUUGCUUUUGUAAAUGCAAUUUUGCUUGUGGGGACAUGUACCUUCUGUCAUUUAACGACAUGAGUUUUCCCCAGGUCAGAAAUUGCCUGGAAAAAUGCAAAUUAUGCACAAAUUCUGGAGUAUCUUCGGGAGGAAUAUGAACUGAAUCAGCGUUUUGGAAGCCUCGACUUCAAACUGAAAUUUGUGGAGGUAAGUGCCUUGUGUACUCAUUCUUCUAUGGUGCAAUCUGUUUCUUUUUGAGUUUUCGUUUGUGUUUAUAAUUUAUUGUUGUAACAGCACAACAUCCAUUUUCUCCAAGAAGUCCUCCAAAAUAGACGGUCUGAUCUGCUGGAGUGGGGUGUCAUAAUUCUACUGACUAUUGAGAUUGCCAUCUCACUAUAUGAAAUUGUCAAGGAUUCCAACAUGAUCUCUUGAGGGUUCUCUAUCCAACAGAUCUGCGGCACUCUUAUCCACCUUCACCUAACAUCCCGAACCUAUCAUCUUGUUAUGCUAACUCCAGGCUCUCCUGUUCUUAAGAAGAAAAAGGUAAACGAAAAGGAAUACUCUAGAGUUCUCCUCUGUCCUGACACACUGCCACUUUUGAUCUGUAGCCUUAGAUGAAAACAAGUUGGGUAUGCUGCCACUUCCUAUGAUAGCUUACCUUCCUGGGCACUGUGAGCGUUGCAUCUUUGAAUUUCCUUUUUAUCCUUUGAUUCCAGUUCACUACUAACGAAAAAAAGUUAGUCCAAUUUUCGUAUGCCCAAUGAAUUUCAUGGCUGCCAUGGUUUUCAAAUUUAAGCAGAGUACUAGUUUUCCUUCCAGAAUUCAUAUCAGGUGUUCUUGACACAUGCACUUUGCGACAUGUGCCAGGUUUUAGUAUUUCCAUAGGACUGCUACGUCCAAUUUUUGGCAUGGCUUGAGACCAGCAGGCAGCUGCCAACUGGACCUGAUGUAAAGAAAAAAGCUCAUACUAUAGCUUUAUAAUUUGUACAAAUAUGUUUGCGUGGGAAGCCUCCCUUUGGUUUAAAUCUAAAUUGCACCGUCUAUUUCGAAUCUUACACCGGUGAGUGACAGUGACAGUGUAAUGGUUGAGUCACCAUAGGAUUUUUGACUUGUAAUUACCAUGCAUUCAACCACAGUUUUGUAUGUGGUCUUCUUUCACAGUUAAGCGUAGUUGCCUCAGAGCCAUUUUUCUUCUUCCUAGACCGUUACUUGUGUUGGCUUGAUUUUCAAACUUCGGACUUUUUUAGAACAAACUUCAGAAGUUCAGUGUAUGGUUGGUUAGCAGCUGAUGUUCUGUCAAACUGGCAGCUCAGAUCAUGCAGAAGUUCGUGAAAAUCGCCUUAAACCAAUCGCUCGUUUUCAGGAUUAUUUGAUAUUUCCUUCGACACACGACUACGCUAGCCUGCUAAAACUGGGUACCACGGCAGCAAACAGCUGUAGACUACUACUCUGUCAGGAAGGCCAGCCCGGACCCCCAAUGCUUGCGCCUUUCCGUUCACACCCGAAACGGCAACGACCCUAGCAGCAGCAAGGCAGCGAGCCCCACCCACCGCCAGACCCCGGCCGCGGCGCGGGCGCGCGACGCGUGGGACGACGGCGCCAUGGCCGGCGGCAGCGGCGCGGGCUGGACGAGCACGGACACCUUCAUGCCGUUCCAGCAGUAGCCGCGGCUGCAGAUGAAGUAGAACCGGCCGGUACGGUUGAGCUGGAACGGGAAGUUGUGCCCACGGCUGUAGCUCAGGAUCGGGCUGCUGCCGUCGCACCUCGCGUACGCCGUCUCGUUCACCUGCACCACGUCGUACCUGUCCUUCUCGUACUCGAAGUCUGCAGCAUUGCACGCGCGAGUUCUUUUGGUUCAAUUUUUUGUUUGAUAACGCGAAUCUAGAUUAUUCAUCACACGGACGGCGUCUUGGUGGCGUCAAAAGUUUGAACCGGGAGAGAGAAAAGGGAGAUUGGUUAAUACCGAGCCAGUCGCCGACGUAGAACUCGUGCCGGUCCGCCCAGUCGGUGUAGUUGACAUUGGGUGCCCAGCGCUUGCGGUCGCCGACGACGAGCUUCGCCGCGACGGAGAGGGCCGGAGCCGUCGCGAGGAGGAGCAACACCACGACAAGGAGGCGCGGCGGCGUCGCCAUUAUUUCUGGAGGCCGAGAUGCAGAGCGGAACAGGGGGGUGGCGGCCGCGGCGGCGGGCUGGAAUGGAAAUGUGGAAUUCGUGAAUUGAAACGGGCAUUUAUUUAUGGAGUGGAGGAAACGAGAUGUGCGUUCCUCUUUGCUUCUCAACUGGUUUUCGUGUAAAAAGAAAGAAGACGGAAUUGGUUUCUGAACUGGGUUUUCGCCAUGGGUUAAUGCAUUUCGCGUGACCUGUGGACCUGGGGUCCGCGUAUGACAUGGCAUGCGCGAUCAAACCCCCGUGGUUCACCCGACUUUUAGGCCGUGUUUGUAUAGGAUUCUAGAUAGGAUUCUAGUCAUUUUAAUCCAACUAACCUUCCAAACGUUUCGAUUCUCAUUCGAUUCUCCAACAAUCUGAUUUUCCCCCGAGCGGCAGUUAUAACGCGAGACCCACAAUCGGGAGAAUCGGGCGGAGGAGGCGCUUGCGGGAAAAUCCGCUCGAUUCCCGAGCGCGACCGCCCAUCUUCCCCACGCCAUCCCGCUCGUCCGCCGCCGGCCCCUCCUAGCCGGUUCGCGCGCCGCCGCUGGAGGCCCCGCCGACGGCCUCUCCGCGCCCACUAACCUCUGGCGCCUCCGCCUGCUCCAGCCCCAAGCUCCCUCACGCGGCCCGCAGCUUCGGCCGGAGCUCCUCGCUUCAGCCCCCAGCUCCGGCCGACGCUCCCUGCUUCAGCCCCCACCUCCCUCGCGCGGCCCGCAGCUUCGGCCGGUGCUCCCCGCUGCGGCCCCCAGCUCGGCCCGCAGCUCCGGCCGGCGCUCCCCGCUCCGGCCCCUAGCUCCCUCGCUGGCCUGUAGCUCCGGCCGGCGCUCCCGCUCCGGCCCCCCAAAUCCGGUCGCCGCUCCCUGCUCCGGCCGGCACUCCCUCGUGCGGCUCCCAGCUCCGGUGUUGUCGGCGCGCCCCCAACUCCUCUGCUGAAGCUCCCCUGCUGAAACGUCAGGGACAAGCCUCUGUGAAAAAAAUCGACAAUGCCAAACGCUUUGCUUCUCUUGCUAGCGAUUCUUGAGGAAGCAAAUUCUUGUACAAUCAAGCUUCUUGGAAAAUCGAUUCACAGAUAAGCUGAACCAAACACGACCUUAGACGCGGCGGAUCGUGCAGGACAGACUUGUGUGGACCUAUCACCUAUGUGGCCCGGGGAAGCGGGACGGACGCGCGCGCGAGGAAGGCUGAACUAAUCAUGGAGGAUCGGUGGGUGUUGUGUUACAGCCACUGAGGCGCCGCACACCAUGCUGUGGUGAGAGCUCUUGAAGGCUGAAGCUGUCAGACGCCGAGUAGCUGCAGGCACUCGACUACUCGAGUCGACGGCGUCGCGAAGCCGCCGGAAGCCAGCGAGCGAGAGGUUCGUCUAUGGAGACGCGCAUAGGAGUGCUGUCGACGCUCGCGUCGCGGAGAAGGGUGAGCAGGCGCCCGGGAAGCAGCCCCACGAGUAGCGGCGGCGCCGGCGCUCCGGCGAGCGCGAGGCACGGAGCAGAGGAGGCGCGCGUGGAAACCCCCUGCGGCCCUGCCCGGGGUCGGGAGUGGACGGUAUUUCAUUUACCGUCCACCUCUUGUGCCCUUGACAACCGUCAGAUUGGAUCCGUACGGCCUAGAUUCGACAUAAGAGCGAUCGGACAUGGUUGUUCUCCGCCGUGAUGCCCCCCUGCUGGAGGGCGCCGGCAGCCUCACCGCCGGCGGCGGCAGGCGCUUCCAGUAUCGUCGUUGCUCGAUCGGUGCUGUCGACCUCCCGGCCGGCGUUUGGAGCGACCGCCUCUCUAUCGCCCCGCUAAUGUCGCCGAGGAAGUCGAGCAGCGCCGGGCGCCAGGUGCUCGGGGCCGAACGCGCGCAGCUGAUGGCUCAAGGAAUGUCUGGUGCGCCCGCGAGCAGGGCCUCGUCGGUGUGCUCUGGAUCGGCACGCUCGCCGGUAGGACAGGUUCGUACUGCCGCCCGUCAGGGCUGCCGUGCCAAGCUGGAGGGAGGUGGGCCGUCGAGGAAGGCGUUGGAGGAAUUCUUGAUGGCGACGAAGCUCGAGUGAAGUUAACUAAGCUGUCCGUGAAUGAUGACUGUAAAUUUGUAAUGUAUGCCCAUUGGGAUGCGAAGGACGAGCUUGCCUCCUUGGCUCCUCCUAGAUCUGAAUACAAGAUUGGGUUACGGAAAGGGGAAGGAGAGGGAGAGGGAGGAAGAUGAGAGCGGGGUUCUCUUCGCCGGCAAAAAUCCGGUGCUACAUAUCCGAUGGGAGCAGCUGGUCGCUGGUGGCGGAGAUGCGCGCGAUUCGUGAAAGGGGAUAAGCUGUUGUCGUCGUCGUCGCGCAAGCUCGCGAAAGACGAGAAGCCAGCAGAAUGACGGUGGUUGGUUAACCCCCCGUGACUCAGAUAACAGAGCAGCUAAAACAACACAAAGAAACCACUGUAAACAGAUAAGACCGUAAAACAGCGUAACCAGCACCUUAAUUCCGAGAACCAUUCUUUUUUCGAAGUAACCAUUCGGCCUCCGGCUCACAAAGGCACCCCCCACCAACGAAAGUGACCCAGUAUUUGCAUACAGCAUUCAAGCGUUAACAGUACUCACUACAUGCACAUGCGAGUACGCGACAAACUCCACAUGAUGAUUCUGCAUGUUCCUGCCACAACUCCACACACGGUGUAUAUUCUCCAACCUCCCCAAAAGCGGAUACCUACAGACGUUCUGGCUUCAAGUUAUUUUUAAUGCCAGGGAAUUCGAAUCUCGGAGUCUAGAGCGGUAUAAGCAGCAACACUCAAUCCAGCCUCCCAAGCAAGUACGCGACCUGAACCUCCUUGGUUAGCGGCAUGAUUCUCCUGUACAGCCCGGCGACUAUGCUGGGGUUGAUCUUGCACACCGGUGGGGCGCCGUUGGCCUCAGCGCCGAUGUUCACCUCUUGCCCGAAGAUCUUGGCCUUCGCUUCCACCCUGUGCUCGAUAGCACGCUCCACAGUCUCGUAUGUGAGGAGUUGCAUGAGUUGAACAGGGUCCUGAAUUGCGCAGAGCACCACAAGAAAUAGGCAAAUGAGUUGUUUGCAACGGGAUCACAUUAUCGAAUUUGAUCCGAAACUCUGCAGGCAAAACAAAAAAUAGACAUAGUAGUUGUAGACAUAUUUGCACGAAGCAGCAGCACAGACCUGGGCUUUUAUGGCAGGCCUGUAAGCUUCAGGGGACUCUUGAAACUUGGCCUCUGCCACAAACUUCCCAUAGUGGAUUCUUUUAGAGAGUGCCUGAAUGGUAAAACAAGGAACAGUGAAUAAGCGCCAAACUAUACAAAUGCAGAAUUGCACAAGUCACCAGCGAACAUCAGCAUAGUAAACCUUGCAUGGAUUGGUAUUGGAAGAUGUGGUUUGACUUUGUUUCCUAAAAUAUAUUCUUUUAAUCGAAUGAAAACUGCAGCAGAGUAAAAGGAACUUUCACAAUAAACUAGUUGACUACAACACAAGCAGAUGUGCACCCACGGUACUUAAGUGGAGUAAGAGGAUUUGACAUAAAUAUCAGCUGUAAGGUGGAUUAAGAGGAUUUGAAAUGAAUAUCAGCUGUACCUGCAAGAGAGACGUGUCACAGAGAGCACUGGAUCCAUAAUUGCCAUCGCUUCCUUCUUUCGCCAACCUUGGAAGAAGUUCAUCGAAAUACAGCUUCCAAAUCUUUUUGUUGAUGUUAAUAGAAUCAGCAACGGGAUGCAGAACCUAUGCAAAGGAUGAGGGUGAAGUAUGAAUCCAUAUGAAGUUUACUAACAUGGACAUAAGAUCAGGAUAUCUCAUUAGCAUUAUGAGCCUUGCAAUAGAUGACAUUCCAAAUGCAAUGCAGCAUAAACAGACGUUUCAUGUCACAGAUUGAUUGUGAUGGGCAACAGUGCUUGUGCUUGUACACGACCACAAGAUUCAUGCAGGUCAAACCAUCAAAUGAUUAAAUUGAAGCAAAAUGCUAAGUCAUCAUCAGUGAGUAAUACAUACAAUGCUACUUUCACCUCUGCUUCACCUAAGGUUCCUUGGGAGCUUUUGCAUUUACUCAAAGUAAAAAGAGCACAUGUUGCAAAUGAGAGGCCACCUUUUUUUGAGCUAAUAAGAAAAAAAAUGACCCUUCGCUUAUUUCAACUCAAUAUGAUAUGACAGAGAGUUAUACAGCUCAUUCCAUGAUAUAAUGGAGAAAGUAGAGUAUCUUAGCAAACAGGGAACAUUUUCAAUGUCUUGUAUCUAAGGUCUGUGGCAUUUAUUACAAUAACGAUAGCAGCACACUGCCUGUAUGUUGUUCACUAAUUGAGAAUUGCUCAAUAUAUGAGCCAUACAGGCCUUUUAAGUCAGGUGCUAAAUAACUGUAACAAAAAACAAAGUCAAUUUAUCUACCUAUAUGAAGAAAAUGAUAUAUUAGUCUGCAAAUAGUGGGCUAUAUUUCUUAUACCGAUGAAGAAACUACAAAAAUCAUCAAGAGAAGCAUUUGAAAUCCAAGAACAUGCAUUACCUUUGGGUAUUGCAUAGGUGGCAACCGCGGCUCAGGCAGAUCAUCUGGAAAGAAUGCGUGCUCAUCUGGGCUCUUGUAUCUCCCAACCUAUAUUUAAAAACAUCAGCAUAUUUUAUUCUUUUGCAAGUCAUGAUCAAUUAUUUUUGUUAAAAAAAGAAACCCAAAUGGAUUCACCUGCGCAUGUAGCUUUUCAGUUUCUCUAACUAUGUAUUCAACCAAAGAUCCUUCAAAACCCUCCAUGUGGAAAGAAUUGCUAUCAUAUGUAUCAGCAUUGUAACGGUACUGGGCUCUCUCCAAGAGGCCGAAUAUGAUGCUGUCUUCUAGUCUAAUCAAAGUUUGUCUGAUGCUAUCCAGUGUCAAUAUUUCACUUCGAUCAACCCUCCCUUCCCUAGCAAAAGUGAACAAUUAAGAAAAAAGAAUGAUCAGUUCCUUCAGUAUAACCCAAACCAGCUUUAGCAACAAGAAAAAGCAGUCAAAGGAUAACAUAAGAGAGUCAAGUCUUUCUGCAAAAAGCAACAAGGUUAACAUCCAUAGUGCUCCAUGUCAAUUCCCUCAAGAUUCCACUUACAUUUCUGGAAUAGUUUCACCAAAAUUCAACGAAGCUUCGUCACAAAGAAAUUAGAACAUACAAGUUAUCAAAGCACACUAUUAAUUUUUUACCACCAAGUCUCCAGACCUAUCAUUGGUGGAAGUGAUGAACAACAUAGCUGGAAAUUUCCACAGUAUAGUUGCAACAAUGUGAACAUGUAAUGCCUACAGGCUACAGCAUGCUUUUGGCUAAAGUCAUGACUUCCAAGUCAACUCUACCACCAAAUAGUAAGUCAUGACUUCAAGUCAACGUCACAGGAUAUCAACACCACGUCCAUUUUUACACAAUAGUAAACUCUCUGUUCUUAGAGAAAUAAUUCAACAAGGAGUUCCCCAACUUCUAGGAGAUCAACCCAAUCACAGGAAAACAGCCACAAUUGCCAAUACAAUCACCGCAAAACAGCCACAAAUUGCCAAUUCAAUCACCACAAAACAGCCACAAAUUGGAUGCCUGAAUUCACGCAAUCAUUCUCUAAAGCACAGAUGGUUGGAUUCAGAAGGACUAGUCUCGGAAACGGAAUGGCUAGAACACCAACUCUCCCGAUUCAUAACCAACGCAAACCCAAAUCCGACUCCAGGAUCAGCACAGGAAAUUACCACACUGCAGCCAGCCGUACGCGCGCAAGCACAAACCUACAUACCCUCCCACGGAACCAAGCGCAGCACAAAAUAGGCAGAAACUGGAUGCCCGAAAUCAUGCAAUCAGUAUCUAAAUUAUGUACGGUCGGAUUCAUCAUCAGGAUUAAUGCCAGAAACGGAAACACUAGACCACAAACGCUACCAAUUGAUACACCACAAAUCCAAACCCCGCUUCCAGGAUCAGAGCAGGAAAUUACCACAGUGCAGCCAUCCUUACACGCGCAAGUACAAACCUACAUACCUCCCCUCCCACGGAACCAAGCGCAACACAAAACAGCCACGAACUGGACGCCCGAAAUCACGCAAUCAGUAUCUAAAGCAUAUACUGUCGGAUUCAUCAGGACUAAUCUCAGAAACGGAACCGCUAGACCACAAACUCCCCCAAUUGAUACACACAAAUCCAAACCCGAUUCCAGGAUCAGCACGGGAAAUCACCACACCGCAGCCAUCCCUACACGCGCAAGCACAAGCCUACACACCUCCCCUCCCACGGAACCUACUACCAAGCGCAGCAACCGCUCGUCACACCAAACGAGUCCCACGAGGAGGAGAACCCAAUCGGAGUACGUACUUGGCCACGGGGGUCGCGGAGUUGUUGGCGGUCGCGCGCAGCGCCUUGGUCCCGGUCGCCGCCGAGCCGAGCCCGAAGCCGACGCGGCUCCUGCCCUGCGCUCCUUCUCCCCGGUGCGCGUGCGCGGGCGCGGGCGACGCCGCCGCGGCCUUGGCGGCCAGCUUGAACUCCAUCGUCGCCACCUACCGCCCCGCCACGAGCACCUGGAAUUCGGGGGUGCUCGCGGGAGGUGGGAGGGAGGGAGAGGCUGGUAGGCCGGGGAAAUGCCGGGGGAUUUAUUUGUAGGUGGUGGGGGCGGCCGGACGGUGAGGAGGGGGGUGUUCGGUCGAGAGGGAGAGGCGACGCGAUGGACUUGGAGAAGUAGGUGGGACUUGGUGGGGUCAGGAGUGGGAGGGGGGGGGGGGGGGGGGGGGGGGGGUGGUGCGGACGGGCCGUAGAGGAAGAGAGGAAGCCAGCCAGCGAGCCAGGCCAGGUCGCCAGGAGGACGGGGUAGGCCGGGAGGGGAUGGGGGAUCGGAAUCGGGGGGCGUCGGCGCGUGGAAAAGUGACGCGCGGCGGGGUCGUGCGGUGGGGUUAGGUUGGGGUGGGGGCGCGCGGGCGUGGCGUGCGUCCCGGUUUGCGGCGGAGCUGUCCGCUUGCUGGCGCGCGACUGGUGAGGGGUCCGUUUGGUACUUCGGGUGGUUGGUCUCGAGCGCUUCCGGAUUGGUGAGGAGGCUCCUGUUGUGAACCAUUUGGUGAUCAACACCAGUACCUAUCAUUAGCGGUUACUUACCGAAGGGGUCUCGCACCCAUUCACAUGACCAUUUCAUCAUGUAUAUGUAUACACAAACAGUCCCAUACUCUUAACACGUUAUCACGCAGGCAUGCUCGAACACUAAUGAGUUCGGCCACAAGACAUUCAUGGCGACGAUGCAGUUCCUGGCGUCCUGGUCGCUGGAGAAGAACAGAAGCACAAAGUCGAUCAAUGUCGAAUCCAAGACGAACAAGCAGAGAUUCGAGCGAUGAUGAACAAGCACUUCUUGCUGCAGUGCAUCACCAGUGGCGUCUUCAGCGACGCCCUUGAACAUGUCUUGCCCAACGCCGGCGAAGCAUCCAUCGACUUCAGAAGGAGAAAUCAACAUCAGGAUUUCACAGAUAAGUGACGGCACCGUUCUUACCUUGCAAUGUCCGGCGGCGACCGUCGCACGUCUACUCACGAUCCUGCGGCAACCCCGCCCGCGGCAAGCCCGCCAGCGCCCCUGCGUCAGCGGUGGCGUGCUCCCACCUGCACCCCAGCAGCCGGCGGCGGCGUCCUUGCACC
RNAcentral lists this long non-coding RNA (16984 nucleotides) under Setaria viridis. Its description in RNAcentral is "long non-coding RNA (SVIR_LNC006088)". Lineage: Eukaryota; Viridiplantae; Streptophyta; Magnoliopsida; Poales; Poaceae. The record is from RNAcentral.